GUGUGUGUAGAAAGGGAGGGGUGGUUAGAACUCCCCUCGACAAGAUAGAAAAGGCCUUUGGGCCCAUGUAACAUGCACAUGGCUCAGGCAUAGCCACCUAAUGAAGGGUUAUCAACAUCUCUAG
Small nuclear RNA from Talpa occidentalis (Iberian mole), 124 nucleotides. NCBI's taxonomy places the organism in Eukaryota, Metazoa, Chordata, Mammalia, Eulipotyphla, Talpidae. The record is from RefSeq and is a predicted model, not a curated record.